AUUGAACGCUGGCGGAAUGCUUUACACAUGCAAGUCGAACGGCAGCACGGGGGCAACCCUGGUGGCGAGUGGCGAACGGGUGAGUAAUAUAUCGGAACGUGCCCAGUCGUGGGGGAUAACGUAGCGAAAGUUACGCUAAUACCGCAUACGAUCUACGGAUGAAAGCGGGGGAUGGCAAGACCUCGCGCGAUUGGAGCGGCCGAUAUCAGAUUAGGUAGUUGGUGGGGAAAAGGCUAACCAAGCCAACGAUCUGUAGCUGGUCUGGGAGGACGACCAGCCACACUGGGACUGAGACACGGCCCAGACUCCUACGGGAGGCAGCAGUGGGGAAUUUUGGACAAUGGGCGCAAGCCUGAUUCAGCCAUUCCGCGUGCAGGACGAAGGCCUUCGGGUUGUAAACUGCUUUUGUACGGAACGAAAAAGCCUUGGCUAAUACCCAGGGUCCAUGACGGUACCGUAAGAAUAAGCACCGGCUAACUACGUGCCAGCCGCCGCAGUAA
Molecule: ribosomal RNA, 500 nt
Filed under: uncultured bacterium
Lineage: Bacteria
Description: partial 16S ribosomal RNA
Rfam family: Bacterial small subunit ribosomal RNA
Source: RNAcentral